GACGAACGCUGGCGGCGUGCUUAACACAUGCAAGUCGAGCGGUAAGGCCCUUUCGGGGGGUACACGAGCGGCGAACGGGUGAGUAACACGUGGGUGACCUGCCCUCAGCUCUGGGAUAAGCCUGGGAAACCGGGUCUAAUACUGGAUAUGACUCCAUGACGCAUGUUGUGGGGUGGAAAGCCUUGUGCGGCUGAGGAUGGGCCCGCGGCCUAUCAGCUUGUUGGUGGGGUGAUGGCCUACCAAGGCGACGACGGGUAGCCGGCCUGAGAGGGCGACCGGCCACACUGGGACUGAGACACGGCCCAGACUCCUACGGGAGGCAGCAGUGGGGAAUCUUGCGCAAUGGGCGAAAGCCUGACGCAGCGACGCCGCGUGAGGGAUGACGG
RNAcentral lists this ribosomal RNA (386 nucleotides) under uncultured bacterium. RNAcentral's name for it is "bacterial SSU rRNA". It matches the Rfam family "Bacterial small subunit ribosomal RNA", at positions 28 to 414 of the family's 1533-position model. The record is from RNAcentral.